GAUGAAGAACGUAGCGAAAUGCGAUAAGUAAUGUGAAUUGCAGAAUUCAGUGAAUCAUCGAAUCUUUAAACGCACAUUGCGCCCUCUGGUAUUCCGGGGGGCAUGCCUGUUCGAGCGUCAUUAUAACCACUCAAGCUCUCGCUUGGUAUUGGGGUUCGCGGUUCCGCGGCCCCUAAAAUCAGUGGCGGUGCCUGUCGGCUCUACGCGUAGUAAUACUCCUCGCGUCUGGGUCCGGUAGGUCUACUUGCCAGCAACCCCCAAUUUUUACAGGUUGACCUCGGAUCAGGUAGGGAUACCCGCUGAACUUAAGCAUAUCAAUAAGCGGAGGA
RNAcentral lists this unclassified non-coding RNA (329 nucleotides) under soil metagenome. RNAcentral's name for it is "partial contains 5.8S ribosomal RNA, internal transcribed spacer 2, and large subunit ribosomal RNA". The stretch from base 1 to 120 matches the Rfam family "5.8S ribosomal RNA", at positions 35 to 154 of the family's 154-position model. The record is from RNAcentral.